GAUGAACGCUUGCGGCAGGCUUAAUACACGCAAGUCGAACGGUAACAGACCUUCGGGUGCUGACGAGUGGCGGAUGGGUGAGUAACGCGUAUGCAACCUACCUCACACCGAGAACAAGUCGACUGAAAAGUUGAAUAAAGUCUCGUGGUGUACAUCCCUCGCAUGAGGGGUGUAUGAUAGAAGUAAUUUGGUGUGAGAUGGGCAUGCGUAUCAUUAGCUAGUUGGCGGGGUAAUAGCCCACCAAGGCGACGAUGAUUCGGGGGCCUGAGAGGGUGGUCCCCCACACUGGGACUGAGACACGGCCCAGACUCCUACGGGAGGCAGCAGUAGGGAAUAUUGGUCAAUGGGCGGAAGCCUGAACCAGCCAUGCCGCGUGAUGGAUGACGGCCUUAGGGUUGUAAACAUCUUUUCUACUAGAGGAAUAGAGUCCACGUGUGGACAG
This 442-nucleotide ribosomal RNA is filed under the name Bacteroidetes bacterium oral taxon 505. RNAcentral's name for it is "bacterial SSU rRNA". It matches the Rfam family "Bacterial small subunit ribosomal RNA", at positions 28 to 475 of the family's 1533-position model. The record is from RNAcentral. Lineage: Bacteria; Pseudomonadati; Bacteroidota.